Molecule: non-coding RNA, 795 nt
Organism: Hydra vulgaris (swiftwater hydra)
Lineage: Eukaryota; Metazoa; Cnidaria; Hydrozoa; Anthoathecata; Hydridae
Source: RefSeq, a predicted model, not a curated record
GAAAUGAGAUACUGCUUCUUGAUGCCACUUACCGAACUACGAGAUAUUCUCUUCCCUUAUUUUUUUUAACGAUAAAAACAAAUGUAGAUUAUCAAGUUGUUGCCACUUUUGUAAUCGAAAAUGAAACUAAAAAGGCUAUCACUGAAGCAUUAAAUAUAAUAAAACAAUGGAAUGCAUUGUUAAAUCCUACUUUUUGUAUGACUGAUUAUUGCAACGAAGAAAUAGAGUCAUUAGAAGCUAUUUUUCCAGAUUGUCGAGUCUUCAUAUGUGAUUUUCAUAGAGAGCAGGCAUGGGAUCGUUGGUUGUCAAAGACUACAAAUGGAUGCUCUGAUUUUAAAGGAAGUAUAAUUUCAUUGCUGCGUUGUGUUGCUAGAGCACAAACUCAAGAAGAGGUAGAAGCAGCUAUUGAGUUACUAAGUUUAUCCAAGUUUUGGUUGGAUUACAAGUUUAACAGAUUUAAAAAAUAUAUAACAAAUUAUUGGUUAAGUAUUAAAUAAAAAUGGAUAUGGGCUUAUCGUCGCGAUCGAUUGUUGGUUGGUUUAAAUACUAACAAUGGGGUGGAAAGACAAAAUGAAUCCUUUAAAUAUUUUUAUUUGCAACAGCAUAAAAAUUCAUCUAUUACUGGUAUGCUAACCCUAUUGAUUGAAGAAUUUUUUCCAGACAAAUUUGAACAAUAUUCAGAAUCCAAUUUCAAAAUGAGUUGUCAGUACAGACGUUAUAGUAUGAAUGUACCUCAUUUUUUACAUAAUAAGCCACAUCAUUUUGUUAAACAUUGUUUACAGAAACAUAAUUUAG